RNAcentral lists this small RNA (331 nucleotides) under Pseudomonas aeruginosa PAK. RNAcentral describes it as "potential sRNA". Lineage: Bacteria; Pseudomonadati; Pseudomonadota; Gammaproteobacteria; Pseudomonadales; Pseudomonadaceae. The record is from RNAcentral.
CGGCAUCCCGCCGCAACGGCGGAUAACCGCAAGCGGUUAUUCGCCCUACCAGGCCCACGUGCCAUGCAGAAGGCCACCCUGGAGGGGGCUCCGUUCCGUGGGGCGAAUAACGCCACCGGCGUUAUCCGCCGAGAUCCCGCCACGACGGCGGAUAACCGCAAGCGGUUAUUCGCCCCACCAGGCCCACGUGCCACACUGGAAGGCCACCCUGGAGGGGGCUCCGUUCCGUGGGGCGCAUACGCCACCGGCGUUAUCCGCCGAGAUCCCGCCAUAACGGCGGAUAACCGCAAGCGGUUAUUCGCCCUACAGGCCCACGUGCCAUGCAGAAAGG